GUCUAUGGCCAUAACCACCCUGAACACACCUGACCUCAGAAGCUAAGCAGGGUUAGGCCUGAUUAGUAAUUGGAUGUGAGAUAGUACAGUAGUACAAAGGACAAGAUU
Nomascus leucogenys (northern white-cheeked gibbon) is the source of this 108-nucleotide ribosomal RNA. Lineage: Eukaryota; Metazoa; Chordata; Mammalia; Primates; Hylobatidae. The record is from Ensembl.